AGCAGCCGCGGUAAUUCCAGCUCCAAUAGCGUAUAUUAAAGUUGUUGCAGUUAAAAAGCUCGUAGUUGAAUUUCGGGAUUAAUUUACUGGUCGUGCUAUUGUACGUACUGGUUUUAUUGAUUCCUCCCUUCUGACGAACUAUGAUGUCAUUAAUUUGGUGUCAUAGGGAAUCAGGACUGUUACUUUGAAAAAUUAGAGUGUUUAAAGCAGGCUCACGCUUGAAUACAUUAGCAUGGAAUAACGGAAUAGGACGUUUGAUUCUAUUUUGUUGGUUUCUAGGAUCGACGUAAUGAUUAAUAGGGAUAGUUGGGGGCAUUAGUAUUCAAUUGUCAGAGGUGAAAUUCUUGGAUUUAUUGAAGACUAACUACUGCGAAAGCAUUUGCCAAGGAUGUUUUCAUUAAUCAAGAACGAAAGUUAGGGGAUCGAAGACGAUCAGAUACCGUCGUAGUCUUAACCAUAAACUAUGCCGACUAGGGAUCGAAUGAUGUUAAUUUUUAAUGACUCAUUCGGCGCCUUAAC
Molecule: small RNA, 519 nt
Filed under: uncultured Glomus
Lineage: Eukaryota; Fungi; Glomeromycota; Glomeromycetes; Glomerales; Glomeraceae
Description: SSU rRNA
Rfam family: Eukaryotic small subunit ribosomal RNA
Source: RNAcentral